This 208-nucleotide ribosomal RNA is filed under the name uncultured delta proteobacterium. Its description in RNAcentral is "partial 16S ribosomal RNA". It matches the Rfam family "Bacterial small subunit ribosomal RNA", at positions 568 to 775 of the family's 1533-position model. The record is from RNAcentral. Lineage: Bacteria; Deltaproteobacteria.
CGCGUAGGCGGUUUGCUAAGUCAGAUGUGAAAGCCCAUGGCUCAACCAUGGACGUGCAUUUGAAACUGGCAGACUUGAGUAUUGGAGGGGGUGGUGGAAUUCCCGGUGUAGAGGUGAAAUUCGUAGAUAUCGGGAGGAAUACCGGUGGCGAAGGCGACCACCUGGCCAAAUACUGACGCUGAGGUGCGAAAGCGUGGGGAGCAAACAG